UACGUAGGGUGCAAGCGUUGUCCGGAAUUAUUGGGCGUAAAGAGCUCGUAGGCGGUUUGUUGCGUCGGCUGUGAAAUCCCGAGGCUCAACCUCGGGUCUGCAGUCGAUACGAGCAAACUAGAGUGUUGCAGGGGAGACUGGAAUUCCUGGUGUAGCGGUGAAAUGCGCAGAUAUCAGGAGGAACACCGGUGGCGAAGGCGGGUCUCUGGGCAAAAACUGACGCUGAGGAGCGAAAGCGUGGGGAGCGAACAGG
RNAcentral lists this ribosomal RNA (253 nucleotides) under uncultured bacterium. RNAcentral describes it as "partial 16S ribosomal RNA". It matches the Rfam family "Bacterial small subunit ribosomal RNA", at positions 524 to 776 of the family's 1533-position model. The record is from RNAcentral.